CUAUGCCUGGAAUAAGAAAAUCCUUAGUUUUUUCAAAAAUUUAAAGUUUGGGAAACAGGAAAUUUAUAAAAAUGACCACAUUAUUGAUAUUCAUGUCAACACCAAAGUGUUGACUACUGGGCUGGUGAUACCCUCGGGGACGAAACGUCCACCAGCAGUGGCAUCGACCCAGUGGUGUAAAUAGUUAUCAAAGGUACCAGGAUUAUAAUUUUUGUACGCCAGACGCGCGUUUCGUCUACAUAAGACUCAUCAGUGACGCUCAUAUC
Molecule: long non-coding RNA, 266 nt
Filed under: Mytilus galloprovincialis (Mediterranean mussel)
Lineage: Eukaryota; Metazoa; Mollusca; Bivalvia; Mytilida; Mytilidae
Source: RNAcentral